UAAGCCAUGCAAGUCUAAGCAUAAGUUUUUAAAUGGCAAAGCUGCGAAUAGCUCAUUACAACUGUUAUUAUAGACACAACUCAAGUUAGAUAUGGAUAUUAGUGGUAAUUCUGCUAUUAAUACACGGAAUAGUUCAGUUCUUGAUUUUCUGUAAUGGUUUGUGUCAUUGUGACAUUCAAGAGACUAAAUCGCAUAAUGCGAUGUGUUGUGCAAGUCUCAGUCCUAUCAGCUAUGUUGUGUGGGGUAUUGGCCCACAGAGGCUUUUACGGGUGACGGGGAAUUAGGGUUUGAUUCCGGAGAGGGAGCCUUAGAAAUAGCUACCACAUCCAAGGAUGGCAGCAGGCGCGCAAAUUACUCGUUUCCGAAACGGAGAGGUAGUUACGAGCAAUAGUGACAUGAGACUUUUGUUUCAUGAUUGCAAUGAAUUGAAUAUAAAUAAUUUUGUGAGAAACCAUUGGAGGGCAAGUCUGGUGCCAGCAGCCGCGGUAAUUCCAGCUCCAGAGUGUAUAUUAAAUUUGCUGCAGUUAAAGCGUUCGUAGUCGUGUGUAUCAUUAGUUGAACGAUAACACCAUUUUGGUUUAUCUGGUUACUAAUUCUUUUUGUGAUGUUCUUUGGAGCACCACAGAUUAUUACUUUGAGCAAAAAGGAGUGCUAACAGCAGAUUUAUGUUUGGACACUUUAGCAUAGGAUAGUAGAUGAGGUUGAAUACCAAAUUCACAGAAAUGGUGAGAGCUUAGAUCCAAUAGAAAAUUACGGGGGUAUAUGGAUUUGUAGGGGAGAGGUGAAAUUCUGAGAUCCUACAAAGACAUACUACUGCGAAGGCAUUUACCCAGUAAUUAUUUCUUGAUCAAGGACGAAAGUUGGGGUAUCGAAGAUGAUUAGAUACCGUCGUAGUCCCAACUGUAAACAGUGCUAACUAAGCUCUGGAGGUUAUCUUUAGAUUAGAUUGUUUCAGAGCUUCUUCGAGAAAUCAAAGUUUUUGAGCCCUGGGGGGAGUAUGGUCGCAAGGCUGAAACUUAAAGGAAUUGACGGAAGGGCACCACCAGGAGUGGAGCCUGCGGCUUAAUUUGAGUCAACACGGGGAAUUUCACCAGGCCAAAACAUAGCGUUGAUUGACAGGUUGAGAGUCCUUUCUUGAUUCUGUGGGUGGUGGUGCAUGGCCGUUCUUAGUCGGUGGGUUGACUUGUCUGGUUAAUUCCGAUAACGGACGAGACCUUGGCCUAAUUAGUUUGCAGUCUUGCUCCAACAUGGUGAGAUUGGUCUUUAUGGGACUUUGCUUGUUCAUGGCAAGGAAGUGCAAGUCUAAAACAGGUCCGUUAUGCCCUUAGAUGGUCUGGGCUGCACGUGUGCUACACUGAUUAAGUCACCGAGAUUCUAACUGAUACGAUAGUGUUGGUCAAUCUUAUUCAAAUUAAUCGUUGUUGGGAUAAUUCAUUGUAAUUUUUGAGUUUCAACCAGGAAUUCCUAGUAAGUGUGCGUCAUCAUCGUGCGCUGAUUACGUCCCUGCCCUUUGUACACACCGCCCGUCGCUUCAACCGAUUGGAUAUUCCGGCGAAUUACACUGACGAGCGUGAUUCAUAGUUUCGACUUGGGUUCAUAUCGAAUGUGUUGUGAGCCUUAAUAUCUAGAGGA
This 1632-nucleotide ribosomal RNA is filed under the name Protomagalhaensia wolfi. RNAcentral's name for it is "SSU rRNA". It matches the Rfam family "Eukaryotic small subunit ribosomal RNA". Lineage: Eukaryota; Apicomplexa; Conoidasida; Eugregarinorida; Hirmocystidae. The record is from RNAcentral.